This 490-nucleotide transfer RNA is filed under the name uncultured bacterium. RNAcentral's name for it is "16S-23S ribosomal RNA intergenic spacer". The stretch from base 69 to 142 matches the Rfam family "tRNA". The record is from RNAcentral.
CUAGAGCAACACAAUCUGCCAAGUAUCCACAACCUAUCGGUUGUUUGAUGUAACUGCACACAGACGGAGGGUCUGUAGCUCAGUCGGUUAGAGCACCGUCUUGAUAAGGCGGGGGUCGUUGGUUCGAUUCCAACCAGACCCACCAACGUUUGAAGGAACGGGGGAUUAGCUCAGCUGGGAGAGCACCUGCUUUGCAAGCAGGGGGUCGUCGGUUCGAUCCCGUCAUCCUCCACCAAAACUGCAGAGAUCAUAGAUAAGCAAAAGCGCAUCGCAUUUGCUUAUCUCUGGCCUCUGGACAGAGUGCAGUUCGAUCUUUAACAAAACGGAAGAAGGUUGUGUCUCUGGUGCCGACAACCAAUACCAGAGACACGGUUGUGAUUGCAUCGUGAUUCGUAUUACAGCUAGUACGGAUUCACGAACAUUGAGUUGCCUGUAACCGACUCUCGCAAGAGAGUCCAAGGUUAUAGGAUCAAGCGACUAAGUGCAUGUG